RNAcentral lists this long non-coding RNA (305 nucleotides) under Oryza brachyantha (malo sina). Its description in RNAcentral is "long non-coding RNA (OBRA_LNC003582)". The record is from RNAcentral. Lineage: Eukaryota; Viridiplantae; Streptophyta; Magnoliopsida; Poales; Poaceae.
UCGGGUAAUAAUCCAACGUCGAUCCGGGGUCAUCUUUCGCCGACUACGGUAAGAAAGUUUCUUUUAAUAAGACUAAUAGCCCCGGGGAGCAUUAAAAUUACUCCUUUGGAAUGGAAAGAGAGACUUGAACGAUGUUUUACAGUCAAAACCCUUCUUUUGAAGGAAAAUCCUUCCAUGCAAUACACGGAUAUUGAGGUGGGCAUUUUUUCUCCAAAUGCUUCCAAACACAUAGCGGAGAAACACCUGAAGUUGGUGUUGCCCGAAUUCCCUAAUCCAAACAUUUCCUUCAAAAGGGGGUGGGGGGC